UACGUAGGUGGCAAGCGUUGUCCGGAUUUACUGGGCGUAAAGCGCGCGCAGGCGGAUUGGUCAGUCCGGGGUGAAAUCUCACGGCUCAACUGUGAGCGGUCCCCGGAUACUGCCAGUCUCGAGGUGUCUAGAGGAGAGCGGAAUUCCCGGUGUAGUGGUGGAAUGCGUAGAUAUCGGGAGGAACACCAAUUGCGAAGGCAGCUCGCUGGGACGUUACUGACGCUGAGACGCGAAAGCGUGGGGAGCAAACAGG
RNAcentral lists this ribosomal RNA (253 nucleotides) under uncultured bacterium. RNAcentral describes it as "partial 16S ribosomal RNA". It matches the Rfam family "Bacterial small subunit ribosomal RNA", at positions 524 to 776 of the family's 1533-position model. The record is from RNAcentral.